GGUUCAGUGGUGGAACGGUUACCACACCUGAUAUAUCUAAGAGAGUCCACAAAAAUCCUGUAGAAGAUCCUUGUUCAACUCAAGGCUGGGUCG
Molecule: non-coding RNA, 93 nt
Organism: Mycena rosella
Lineage: Eukaryota; Fungi; Basidiomycota; Agaricomycetes; Agaricales; Mycenaceae
Source: the annotation of a GenBank genome assembly